UAUCUCUUUGAAGAGGGAAAAAAAAAAGAGUUGAAGAAAUUGAAUUGAACGAAAAAUGGUUUCAGAAACUGAAUUGAGUAAAGGAAGAAAACCAUGCCAUGCAUCUGUCGACUGUUAUGCCUACAAAAGACAACAUCCUUGAGCAAGCUUACCUCGCUCGACUCGACGACCUAAAAAACCUACCACAAAACUUGGGCACUCCCAUGUCUAAUAACUGAAAAUUUGUCAGGAACCAGAAAACCCAUAUUUUAGCUAUGCCUUCAUCUCCAAAAUUCUUUCCUGCCAGACCUUCAUCGUCCAAAUCCAGGAGAUCAACGGUCCUGAUCCUGUGUCUUCUAGUAGGCGUGGCCGGAUUUUUCUUGGGUUUUCUUGUAGUUUCCAAGCAGGGGUUGGGAUAUAGCUGUAAAUACGCCAAGCCCAUUUCAGUUUCUGUUGUUUGGGAUAGAACAAAUAGCGGUAAUAGUUUCAGCAGCAGUAGUGAUGGUGAUAAUGGAGCUAACGGGAAUUCAGUGCGAGGGCAAAAGAGGUAUAAAGCCACGGGCUUUGUGGGAAUUCAAACCGGGUUUGGAUCCGCUGGUCGUCGCCGGGCUUUGCGCCAGACUUGGUUUCCCUCUGAUCCUCAAGGUCUUCAACGGUUGGAGGAAGCUACUGGCUUGGUAUUUAGAUUUGUUAUUGGUAGGACUAGUGAUAAAUCAAAGAUGUCAGAGCUUAGGAGGGAGGUAGCCAAAUAUGACGAUUUCAUGCUAUUGGAUAUUGAAGAGGAGUAUAGUAAGCUCCCAUACAAAACGCUAGCUUUCUUCAAAGCUGCUUAUGCUCUUUAUGAUGCUGACUUUUAUGUUAAGGCAGAUGAUGACAUAUAUCUGAGACCAGAUCGUCUCUCUCUUCUCUUGGUUAAGGAGCGUUCUCAUUCUCAAACAUAUCUUGGAUGCAUGAAGAAAGGCCCAGUUUUUACUGAUCCCAAGCUCAAAUGGUACGAGCCUCUAGGACAUCUGCUUGGAAAGGAAUACUUUCUCCAUGCUUAUGGUCCACUUUAUGCUCUAUCUGCAGAUGUUGUUGCCAGUUUGGUUGCUCUGAGAAACAACAGUUUUCGGAUGUUCAGCAAUGAGGAUGUUACAAUUGGUGCUUGGAUGCUCGCAAUGAAUGUCAACCAUGAGAACAAUAAGCUACUAUGUCAACCAGAGUGUACUUCCUCAUCCAUAGCCGUGUGGGAUAUUCCCAAGUGUUCUGGACUCUGUGAGCCCGAGAAGAAGUUAUUGGAACUCCAUGCAGAGGAAAUUUGUUCGAAGAGCCCUACUUUGUCAUCUGAUGAAGAUGAUUAGCACCUUUGCACUGUUCAGAUUCGUUAGACUGCUGAAAGUCUGAGCAAAGGAAUCCAUUUUUGCGAUCUUCUUACAAAAUUUUGACAGCAACGAGCAGUUUUUUACAUAAAUCAUAGCAUAUGAACAGCAUUCAUUAACCAAUUGGUCACCAUGUUGUUAAUGUAGAAAUUUCAUUCCUUGAUUGCUUCCCAUGUAAUACAUACACGCAUUCUCUGUACCAUAUGUGACCAUUUAGAAGAUCAUGAUUGUACUCAUUUCUUAGCAGGCACAACUUCAGCUGACUGUCUAUACAAGUGGAGUUAGAGAACCUCUCUGCAAUGAUGAAUGACUGCUUAUAAUGUGUCAAUGGAGAUGACUUUCGAAGACAAUUAUUGAAGAACGGCCAAGGAGGAUUUUUGACAUGUGGGCAGGGAAAUAAAGAGGGGGCUGUUUUUUUUUUUGUAAAAAUGAGGAAAGCGAGAAGCUGCUUGAUUUGUUGACGGGUUCGGAUUGGCUUGUAAAAUGGGGUUGAGGGAAUGUGGGGAGAAGGGUAAGGAAUGUAUCGGGUUUCGUAGGGUCAUUAAUUGUAUGGCUCUUCCAUAUUUGGUUCUUCUGUAAGAUGUUAGUUUUGCUUUGCGUCUUGUAUAAA
Molecule: non-coding RNA, 1947 nt
Organism: Coffea arabica (coffee)
Lineage: Eukaryota; Viridiplantae; Streptophyta; Magnoliopsida; Gentianales; Rubiaceae
Source: RefSeq, a predicted model, not a curated record